ACACAUGCAAGUCGAGGGGCAGCAUGGUCUUAGCUUGCUAAGGCCGAUGGCGACCGGCGCACGGGUGAGUAACACGUAUCCAACCUGCCGUCUACUCUUGGACAGCCUUCUGAAAGGAAGAUUAAUCCAGGAUGGGAUCAUGAGUUCACAUGUCCGCAUGAUUAAAGGUAUUUUCCGGUAGACGAUGGGGAUGCGUUCCAUUAGAUAGUAGGCGGGGUAACGGCCCACCUAGUCAACGAUGGAUAGGGGUUCUGAGAGGAAGGUCCCCCACAUUGGAACUGAGACACGGUCCAAACUCCUACGGGAGGCAGCAGUGAGGAAUAUUGGUCAAUGGGCGAUGGCCUGAACCAGCCAAGUAGCGUGAAGGAUGACUGCCCUAUGGGUUGUAAACUUCUUUUAUAAAGGAAUAAAGUCGGGUAUGCAUACCCGUUUGCAUGUACUUUAUGAAUAAGGAUCGGCUAACUCCGUGCCAGCAGCCGCGGUAAUACGGAGGAUCCGAGCGUUAUCCGGAUUUAUUGGGUUUAAAGGGAGCGUAGAUGGAUGUUUAAGUCAGUUGUGAAAGUUUGCGGCUCAACCGUAAAAUUGCAGUUGAUACUGGAUGUCUUGAGUGCAGUUGAGGCAGGCGGAAUUCGUGGUGUAGCGGUGAAAUGCUUAGAUAUCACGAAGAACUCCGAUUGCGAAGGCAGCCUGCUAAGCUGCAACUGACAUUGAGGCUCGAAAGUGUGGGUAUCAAACAGGAUUAGAUACCCUGGUAGUCCACACGGUAAACGAUGAAUACUCGCUGUUUGCGAUAUACGGCAAGCGGCCAAGCGAAAGCGUUAAGUAUUCCACCUGGGGAGUACGCCGGCAACGGUGAAACUCAAAGGAAUUGACGGGGGCCCGCACAAGCGGAGGAACAUGUGGUUUAAUUCGAUGAUACGCGAGGAACCUUACCCGGGCUUAAAU
RNAcentral lists this ribosomal RNA (945 nucleotides) under uncultured bacterium. RNAcentral describes it as "bacterial SSU rRNA". It matches the Rfam family "Bacterial small subunit ribosomal RNA", at positions 51 to 986 of the family's 1533-position model. The record is from RNAcentral.